This 159-nucleotide ribosomal RNA is filed under the name fungal sp. TRN47. RNAcentral's name for it is "5.8S ribosomal RNA". It matches the Rfam family "5.8S ribosomal RNA". From Rfam's summary of the family: 5.8S ribosomal RNA (5.8S rRNA) is a component of the large subunit of the eukaryotic ribosome. Lineage: Eukaryota; Fungi. The record is from RNAcentral. RNAcentral also lists the same sequence under 1 other name.
AAAACUUUCAACAACGGAUCUCUUGGUUCUGGCAUCGAUGAAGAACGCAGCGAAAUGCGAUAAGUAGUGUGAAUUGCAGAAUUCAGUGAAUCAUCGAAUCUUUGAACGCACAUUGCGCCCCUUGGUAUUCCAUGGGGCAUGCCUGUUCGAGCGUCAUUU